Molecule: transfer RNA, 68 nt
Filed under: Aromatoleum aromaticum EbN1
Lineage: Bacteria; Pseudomonadati; Pseudomonadota; Betaproteobacteria; Rhodocyclales; Rhodocyclaceae
Rfam family: tRNA
About the family: Transfer RNA (tRNA) molecules are approximately 80 nucleotides in length. Their secondary structure includes four short double-helical elements and three loops (D, anti-codon, and T loops).
Source: Rfam by way of RNAcentral
GUGGGCGGAAUUGAUGGAAAUUGUGACUCUUAAUCAGUAGGUCGUAGGUUCGAAUCCUACUGCCCCCA